Molecule: unclassified non-coding RNA, 379 nt
Filed under: uncultured bacterium
Lineage: Bacteria
Description: contains 16S-23S intergenic spacer region
Source: RNAcentral
UCCGGAUUAGCUCCGGCAGUCCUGUUAGAGUGCCCAACUAAAUGAUGGCAACUAAAGACGAGGGUUGCGCUCGUUGCGGGACUUAACCCAACAUCUCACGACACGAGCUGACGACAGCCAUGCAGCACCUGUGUGUAGGUCCCGUAAGGGAAGGAAUCCAUCUCUGGAAACCGUCCUACCAUGUCAAACGCUGGUAAGGUUCUGCGCGUUGCUUCGAAUUAAUCCGCAUGCUCCGCUGCUUGUGCGGGUCCCCGUCAAUUCCUUUGAGUUUUAGCCUUGCGGCCGUACUCCCCAGGCGGGGCACUUAAUGCGUUAGCGCCGGCACGGGGGGAGUCGACACCCCCCACACCUAGUGCCCAUCGUUUACGGCGUGGACUAC